UUCGUGCCGUGGUUUAUAGAAGAAAUUUAAUCAACGGGGCUUUAAUCAAUCGAAUUCGCUGUGCGCUUUCAGUGAAAGUUGUGAGAACAUACAUCACUCAACUCGAUAAAUAAAUAUAAGUCAACGGCUAAGCGUUCCUUUAUUCGAUCAUUCGUGCUUGUAAUCUUGAGGUUACAAUGCUGAGUUGAUUAUCUCUAACCUAAAUACAUCGUCCUGAAUCUAGGCUGAUUCACUCCAAAGAUCGACUCUUCGUGUUUAAAGUCUCUCUCAUUCGUAUGCUUUAUAAGAGUUUCACGUCUGGUCGCAUACCAUAUACCUGCCCUUGACGUGUUUGUUAAGUUUUAAAUAUCAUAUAACACUAUUUGCACUAUUUAAAGCAGUUAAAUUCGGUUAUACAAUAGAAGGAUUACAAAAUCUACCAAACGCAAGGGGUUCUCAUAUUACUUCGCUACAGUGGGAAGUCGGCAUUUAUCCCCGGGCGCUUUUCAUUCAGAAGUUGUCGACGGAAAGGAGUGGAUAGGAGCAUGUUUAUAUUAAAAAAGUGAUAGCGCGUAGGUUGGAGACAAUGGAAGACGAACAUGAUACGAACAAGAGGACGGUAUCUUGUCUGCCUGGUAUGCCGGCAUUGCCUCGUGAAACAGGAACAAGGAACAAGGUACUUGUUCCAAGUUCGAAACUCAAUCUUUGUGCUAGAAAGGCUAGUAUUAAUUUGGAUCUGAAGAGGCGGUCGAAAAACAGUCGGGAUCGACUUCUUGUUACAUACUUGCAGAUUCCAGAGCACUUCACUGCUUUGUCGAUCCGGCUAUCGGAAGUACUCGAUGUUAUUGGAGCCGGGAAAUUCACCGUAAUGGAGAGGAGAGAAACAUUCUUGCUGAGGGAGAGCAUAAUGACGAUA
Dreissena polymorpha is the source of this 895-nucleotide long non-coding RNA. RefSeq lists it as uncharacterized. The transcript is spliced from 4 exons. The record is from RefSeq and is a predicted model, not a curated record. Lineage: Eukaryota; Metazoa; Mollusca; Bivalvia; Myida; Dreissenidae.